AGGUGUCCGAAGGGGCUGCGGAGGGGCCAGGAGGGGAUCCAGGUGCGGAGCCUAUUCUGCAUCCCCUGUGGUCCUCCCCUCUGCAGGGAGCAGGCUGGGCCUGGCCAGGUGAACAGGUACGGGAUUUCAGAGAUGGGGAGUCGGCCAGGCUACCCUACUCUGCAGAUGGGCAACUCAGUCUCAGCAAGGUCAUCAAGGGAGGGCUCACCACUAGAACCCAGGUCUCCUGGCCCCAGCUCUGUAAAGACACCACCCCACCCCCGAGGGUGGAGGAAAGGUGGAGUGUUGGGGCAAGGGCAUGGAACCUGCUGUUUGCACUGGUCGCAAAUCUGGAGGCGUGGGCUGGUUCAGCCACCUUCAGAGCCAUAGUGUGAGAGGGGCAGGUUGGGCUUGGGGCUUCUAGCUCGCUCUCCACUACUGACUGGUCACCUCAGGGCGCCUGGCACUCAGAAGAUAAAGAGACCACAGUCAAGGCCAGAAGACGAUUGCACUCAUAUCCCUGCAGGGCAGUGGGAUGUUGAGGGGUAACUCCAGGAACGAUGAAUGGAGUAUGAAGAGGUAAAAAUAAUAGGUACAGCUCCACAUUUGUAAUGGUCGUAAGCAUUGGUCAUCAUAAAUCAGGAAGCCUGUGAGUGAGCUGUUUGACAAGUGUGUCCCAUGUGGAGCUGGUGGAGGGCGGGUGGUGUUCCAGGGGUGGGGGAUGAGCUGGCAAGAGAGCCAGUGCUCCUGUGUAGGUUAGAGUAUGUGGUGAGCAUGUCUAUGUGUGUGACCGUCUGUGCAUCUGUGUGCGCAAGGAUGUAAGUGACAGCUCUGUGUGACUGCAGUGGGAGUGCCCAAGUGUGUGUGCCCGCAUGUCUGUGAAGGUGUGGGUGUGUGCAACGUGUGAGUGAGCCUAGGAGCAAGUGUGUGUGCACCGUGUGCGACUUGCCUUGUGUGAGACUGUAUAAGAGUACAUAGGGUGUGUUCUGGAUGUGUGUUUGUGUGUCUGUGGAGACUGUGUCCAUGUAGACAGGUGGGUGAGCUCUGGUGUGGGUGUUGGCGAGCACACCUGUGUUGUGGGCGUGAGGAUCAGAGCAUGUGCAUGUGCCAGGGUGCGUGUCUGCAUGGGGUGUGUCAGGCGUGAGUGUGGGGCUGAGCCAGUGGGGGCAGACUUCGUCUCUCUGCGUCGGGGGCUCGACUUCCCCACACUGGAGGUUUCUGGGAGCCCCCGACGUUGCAGUCCAGUUCCAGGCGUGUGACGUGCUCCCCUCCUGGUCCCCUGGGACCGCUGCGUCUCCGGUCCCUCGCCAGGCGAGACCAGGCAUUCGGAGCCCGCGCCCCUGCGCCGCGCAUUCCCAGGCCUCCGACGGGUGCGAAGCCCACGCGCUGGGCGCUGCAGGGACGCCGGGACCUGGAGGCCGCUCGAGCGCAGACCUGGAGCGCGAUGCCCGCCGCCGGGGCAGGACGGAGGGGGCGACAGCAGACCAGCGCUGCCGGAUCGGAUCGGGUGCGGCACUGGGAGUUCUCCAAGGUGCUAAAAUAAACCCUGCGAAGGAUCAGGUUUCCUGACCAAAAUAACCCAGGAGCGGCCUCAGAAAUGCGAACUGAGAAAGCGAUCCACGGCGGGGCGCCAGGGCUGGGGAGGUGGCCAUGAAAACUGCCUUCCGCGGGACUCCCGGCCCCUGCUCCAGCCCCCCGCCCCUGGAGUCUCCUUCUCUUCUGGGAUCAUCACCCCAAACGACAGCCCUGUGUUGGCCGGUGGUCUUUGAUUGCCAGGUCUGCAGUAGAUUAGAGCCGGGCUCUGGAAUCAGUCAUUCUUGCAAUAUUUAUGGAGUGCCUACUAUGUGCCAAACCCUACCUGUCCACCUGGGUGUCACCCAGGAGCAAAGAGACAGUGGUUCCUGCCCCUGGGUGUUGCUGUGUUAGUAGGAUAACACAGACCAUGAACACCACUAGCCAAGAAUAAAUAAGCAGAGUGUGUGGGUUGUUAAAUAGUGACACAUACUUCAAAAAAUAAGUAAAUAAAAGGAAAAAACAGCAGGGGGUGGGGGUAGGGUGAUGUUUGAAUCUGGCUCACUGAUUGCCUGGAAAGAAUCGCUUUGCCUCUGAGCUUUGGUCUUUCUGUUGGUGCCCUGGCACAAAGCACCUGUCUGUGAAGUUGCUGUGAGGUCCCACCGGGUGGUGCAGGGACCUGCCCUCCGAAUCUCCUGCAGUAAGUAUGAAGUGCAAGUUACUGAGGAAUAUGCUUGUUCUUAAUGGUGGGAAAGGGAUCUGAGACACUUGGAGGCUGCAAUGUCCAGACUGCGCCAGGGCCCACAAAGCUGCCGGGAAACUCUUGCUCUCAGGGAAGAGGCAGUGCCGACAAGUGGUUAGAGCCAGAAGAGUUAGGCUGAGGGCUGGAUCUGGACCCUGGUAGCAGCUGUGGGCUCUGGCAAGCCUCAUGGCCCCCACCCUGACCCUCAGCAGUCCACAGUGCUGGCACAGAAGGCUGUGCAGAGCCCUGGGCUGCACGGCUGUGUAGACAGGUCUCAGGCCGAGUCAGAGCCACCGGCCGGCCCAAGUCCCAGCUCUGGCCUUGGCCUCACAGGUGAUGUCACCCCUGAGUCUGCUCUUCCUCCUCUGAGAUGGGCAGAGGGAGGCCAGACUUCACCUUAUUGCCCAGGACUGUCCAAGGUCCCUCUAAGCACUGCACCCAAGAGCUCAGGUCAGCCCAGCAGACCCCAUGGGGUGCCCCCAAGUCACUGUUUCACUUGGCACCUGCCACUUUAACCCUUCUUUAUAUUCUGCUUAAUGAACAGGGACAUGUGGAUAAGAAUGGCUGUCCUGGGACAGUUUUGAGUACAGUUGUCACAAAAUGGGAUCAACCUAAAUGUCGAAGGAUGGAGGAGUGGCCUAUAUAGAUGGUGUCCACUGUGUGACAGCAGGCUUAUCAGGCAGCCUAGGAAAAUAAAGGGGUCGUCAUGGGGACGUGGCCAGGCUUACAUAGGUGGGUGAAACGGGAGCUAAGUUUUUAAAGAAUGUUCAACACGAUCCUAUUUUAAAUGUCUAUUUGUAUAUUUGUCUAUCUCAAUAGACAAAUACACCUGUGCUGGAUAUGCAGCUGUUUCACACUUAGAUAUAGUUUGUUUAACAUAUAUUCUUUUCUGACUAUUAAAAUAAUGCUUGGUUGGUGUACA
This 3155-nucleotide long non-coding RNA is filed under the name Marmota monax (woodchuck). Lineage: Eukaryota; Metazoa; Chordata; Mammalia; Rodentia; Sciuridae. The record is from RNAcentral.